CAGGCUGUCAUUGGGGAGUAGCCUCCUUCCUUGAGUGAGAGGGGUUUGCGUCAACAGACUUGUCUGGCCUUGCAACAGGGCCGGCAUGGCGCAAACGGUUUUCCGGACUUGGCGAGACCUUUGACUGCACAGCCUCCAUAGCUUGAAAAAGUUAUAGGCCGGGGUCGUCGUGCAGUCAUGGGUUUGUACCGGCCGGAGUCAUU
This 203-nucleotide small RNA is filed under the name Polaromonas sp. JS666. RNAcentral's name for it is "Manganese Mn2+ riboswitch aptamer (yybP-ykoY)". It matches the Rfam family "Manganese Mn2+ riboswitch aptamer (yybP-ykoY)". Rfam says of the family: This RNA was originally discovered in E. coli during a large scale screen and was named SraF. The family was later found to exist upstream of related families of protein genes in many bacteria, including the the yybP and ykoK genes in B. subtilis. The specific functions of these proteins are unknown, but this structured RNA element may be involved in their genetic regulation as a riboswitch. Lineage: Bacteria; Pseudomonadati; Pseudomonadota; Betaproteobacteria; Burkholderiales; Comamonadaceae. The record is from Rfam by way of RNAcentral. RNAcentral also lists the same sequence under 1 other name.